AAGGUUAAAAUUAACAAUAGUGAUACGCUAACGAAGACCGCCUUCUGAUGGCAUUGUCGUUCGUAAGUACAUCCUCAAAAGCCCCGUAUCACGACAUUUUAUAAGAAAAUAUUGCUAUUCAACUAGGUACGUAUAUAUAUAUAUAAUUUGCAAACUAACUGCAUAUUUGGUUUCAUUUAAUCGCUUAUACAUAAAUUUAAUAUAUUUAUAGACU
Molecule: non-coding RNA, 214 nt
Organism: Cinara cedri
Lineage: Eukaryota; Metazoa; Arthropoda; Insecta; Hemiptera; Aphididae
Source: the annotation of a GenBank genome assembly